This 375-nucleotide ribosomal RNA is filed under the name uncultured bacterium. RNAcentral describes it as "bacterial SSU rRNA". It matches the Rfam family "Bacterial small subunit ribosomal RNA", at positions 523 to 897 of the family's 1533-position model. The record is from RNAcentral.
AUACGUAGGUGGCGAGCGUUGUCCGGAAUUAUUGGGCGUAAGGAGCGCGUAGGCGGGUAGAUAAGUCUGUUUUAAAAGUGCGGGGCUCAACCCCGUGAUGGAAUGGAAACUGUUUAUCUUGAGUGCCGGAGAGGAAAGUGGAAUUCCCAGUGUAGCGGGGAAAUGCGUAGAUAUUGGGAGGAACACCAGUGGCGAAGGCGACUUUCUGGACGGUGUCUGACGCUGAGGCGCGAAAGCCAGGGAAGUGAACGGGAUUAGAUACCCCGGUAAUCCUGGCCGUAAACGAUGGGUACUAGGUGUAGAGGGUAUCGACCCCUUCUGUGCCGGAGUUAACGCAAUAAGUACCCCGCCUGGGGAGUACGGCCGCAAGGUUGA